Molecule: non-coding RNA, 29 nt
Filed under: Mus musculus (house mouse)
Lineage: Eukaryota; Metazoa; Chordata; Mammalia; Rodentia; Muridae
Source: RNAcentral
UGCCCGGAAAGUGUCUGCAGAUAAGGUGU